GUAGGGAAUAUUGCACAAUGGAGGAAACUCUGAUGCAGCGACGCCGCGUGAGUGAUGAAGGCCUUCGGGUCGUAAAACUCUGUGAUAAGGGAAGAUGAUGACGGUACCUUAUCAGAAAAGACCGGCUAACUUCGUGCCAGCAGCCGCGGUAAUACGAGGGGUCUAAGCGUUGUUCGGAAUCACUGGGCGUAAAGCGGGUGUAGGUGGCUAUGCAAGUUGGAUGUGAAAGCCCCGGGCUCAACCCGGGAAGUGCAUCCAAAACUACGUAGCUUGAGUGCGGGAGAGAAAGGCAGAAUUCCUGGUGUAGUGGUGAAAUACGUAGAUAUCAGGAGGAACUCCGGUGGCGAAGGCGGCCUUUUGGCCCAGCACUGACACUCAGACCCGAAAGCGUGGGUAGCAAACAGGAUUAGAUACCCUUGUAGUCC
This 425-nucleotide ribosomal RNA is filed under the name uncultured bacterium. RNAcentral describes it as "partial 16S ribosomal RNA". It matches the Rfam family "Bacterial small subunit ribosomal RNA", at positions 354 to 796 of the family's 1533-position model. The record is from RNAcentral.